Non-coding RNA from Pelobates cultripes (western spadefoot toad), 233 nucleotides. The record is from the annotation of a GenBank genome assembly. NCBI's taxonomy places the organism in Eukaryota, Metazoa, Chordata, Amphibia, Anura, Pelobatidae.
GUUAAUGCUCAUGUGAAGAAAGAGAUAACGCUAAGUUAAUGACUUUUAAGAAUGGAGUUCACAUUGAGGAGAGGCAAUUAGUAGGAAGGUUGAGUAGGUAAGGAGAGAGAUCAAAGGAAAAUAAUUCUGAGUACACAUGAGUUAUCCUUAGCAUAGAGAUUAUAAUAGAUUGCCAAAGAAGGACUGAACCAUUUGUAUUACAGCUGUAUGAGAGCAUAGGAAGCACAGUAAAU